UGCAUGCAAUGUUUUUUUUUAAAUAUUUUGCUUCAUAUAGUUCACACUACAUUAUUGUGUCAUUUGACAUGUAACAGUCUUUUUGAUUAACAUUCAUUUACGGUACAAAAGGCAUUGAAAUUGUCAAUUAAAAUAAUUAUGGAAAUUUGUUGAAGAUGAAAGGGGUGUAUUUUUUAAAAAUGUAGCAAAUUACAGAACGUUGAAAAUUUUGAUGGUUGUCUACUUAUUAAAGUUUAUUUUAAUAACAACAGUUAUAAAACUGUUUUUGAAAAUGAAUUUUAAAGAAAGACUAAUCAAGUCCACAUGCUCCGAUCAACUCCAUCUUAGCCAUCCAUUUGUCAACCAUUGUUGGUUAAACUAUAAAUUCAGAGUAGGAAAAAAAUCAGUAAGACAGUGAAUCUCUAAGUUUUCACUUUAAACAGUAAGAUAUUGGUACACUGAGCAACUUACUAUGAAUUCAGAUAAUUCACUUGUUGCAAUACCCCUGCUCCAAUUAUCAGAAAAGGUUUGUGGUAAAAGAAAGGGUUAAAUUCAUUCAACUAAGUAUAUAGAUCAUACGAAACAACUCAUUAUAUAUAUUAUCACCUCAAUAUUACGCUUCAACUUCUCAAGACGCUGGUUGUCAAACUGUAAAGAAAAACUUGUAAAUAUGAAGAGGAGACGUCAUCAUGCUUAUGUAUCAAGGUUUGAUGUUAAGUAUUCUAAGUGAAAUUACAAUAUCUUAACUAAAAAGGAGUACUACUCAUUGUGUUUUUGCUUCAUGUAAACAUAUUUAUCUAGUUGGUGAGCAUGAAAAUAAAAGUCAAGAAAAUUUGUGUGAAUGUUGAAGAUGCAUGCA
Molecule: long non-coding RNA, 838 nt
Filed under: Fragaria vesca (wild strawberry)
Lineage: Eukaryota; Viridiplantae; Streptophyta; Magnoliopsida; Rosales; Rosaceae
Description: long non-coding RNA (FVES_LNC005643)
Source: RNAcentral